RNAcentral lists this ribosomal RNA (1174 nucleotides) under human gut metagenome. RNAcentral describes it as "bacterial LSU rRNA". It matches the Rfam family "Bacterial large subunit ribosomal RNA", at positions 1115 to 2288 of the family's 2925-position model. The record is from RNAcentral.
GCCAUCCUUCAAAGAAAGCGUAAUAGCUCACUGAUCGAGUCUUCCUGCGCGGAAGAUGUAACGGGGCUAAGUCAAUAACCGAAGCCGCGGAUUCGCAGCAAUGCGAGUGGUAGGGGAGCGUUCUGUAAGCCUGCGAAGGCGGAUCCGCGAGGACCGCUGGAGGUAUCAGAAGUGCGAAUGCUGACAUGAGUAACGUUAAAGCGGGUGAAAAGCCCGCUCGCCGCAAGCCCAAGGUUUCCUGCUCUACGUUCAUCGGAGCAGGGUGAGUCGGCCCCUAAGGUCAGGCUGAGAAGCGUAGCUGAUGGGAAGCUGGUUAAUAUUCCAGCACCGAUUUCAAGUGCGAAGGGGGGACGGAGUCCUGAAGGUCAUCCGGGUGUUGGAUAUCCCGGUUUACGAGCGUAGGAGGUUGACAGGCAAAUCCGUCAACGAAUCUCCAAGGCGAAGGAUCGAGGUUGAGAGAUCAACUGAAGUGACUGAAUGGGCUUCCAGGAAAAGCCUCUAAGCGUCAGCUUGGAAUUGACCGUACCGCAAACCGACACUGGUGGGCGAGCUGAAUAUGCUCAGGCGCUUGAGAGAACUCAGGAGAAGGAACUCGGCAAAUUGACACCGUAACUUCGGGAUAAGGUGUGCCUUUGUAGUGUGAAGAGAGAAACACUCCGAGCAUGAAGAGGCCUCAGAGAAUCGGUGGCUGCAACUGUUUACUAAAAACACAGCACUCUGCAAAGAUGAAAGUCGACGUAUAGGGUGUGAUGCCUGCCCGGUGCUGGAAGAUUAAUUGAUGGGGUGCAAGCUCCUGAUCGAAGUCCCAGUAAACGGCGGCCGUAACUAUAACGGUCCUAAGGUAGCGAAAUUCCUUGUCGGGUAAGUUCCGACCUGCACGAAUGGCAUAAUGAUGGCCACACUGUCUCCUCCCGAGACUCAGUGAAGUUGAAAUGUUUGUGAUGAUGCAAUCUCCCCGCGGCUAGACGGAAAGACCCCAUGAACCUUUACUGCAGCUUUGCAUUGGACUUUGAACCGAUCUGUGUAGGAUAGGUGGGAGGCAGUGAAGCUAGGACGCCAGUCUUAGCGGAGCCAACCUUGAAAUACCACCCUGAUUUGUUUGAGGUUCUAACCUAGGAGCGUAAUCCGCUUCGGGGACCGUGCAUGGUAGGCAGUUUGACUGGGGCGGUCUCCU